RNAcentral lists this ribosomal RNA (585 nucleotides) under uncultured Pseudomonadota bacterium. Its description in RNAcentral is "bacterial SSU rRNA". It matches the Rfam family "Bacterial small subunit ribosomal RNA", at positions 78 to 664 of the family's 1533-position model. The record is from RNAcentral. Lineage: Bacteria; Pseudomonadati; Pseudomonadota.
UGCUGAUUUGCUGACAUGGCGGACGGGUGAGUAAUGUCUGGAAACUGCCUGAUGGAGGGGGAUAACUACUGGAAACGGUAGCUAAUACCGCAUGACGUCGCAAGACCAAAGAGGGGACCUUCGGGCCUCUUGCCAUCGGAUGUGCCCAGAUGGGAUUAGCUAGUAGGUGGGUAAAGGCUCACCUAGGCGACGAUCCCUAGCUGGUCUGAGAGGAUGACCAGCCACACUGGAACUGAGACACGGUCCAGACUCCUACGGGAGGCAGCAGUGGGGAAUAUUGCACAAUGGGCGCAAGCCUGAUGCAGCCAUGCCGCGUGUAUGAAGAAGGCCUUCGGGUUGUAAAGUACUUUCAGCGGGGAGGAAGGGAGUAAAGUUAAUACCUUUGCUCAUUGACGUUACCCGCAGAAGAAGCACCGGCUAACUCCGUGCCAGCAGCCGCGGUAAUACGGAGGGUGCAAGCGUUAAUCGGAAUUACUGGGCGUAAAGCGCACGCAGGCGGUUUGUUAAGUCAGAUGUGAAAUCCCCGGGCUCAACCUGGGAACUGCAUCUGAUACUGGCAAGCUUGAGUCUCGUAGAGGGGGGUAG